Long non-coding RNA from Scylla paramamosain (green mud crab), 460 nucleotides. RefSeq lists it as uncharacterized. The transcript has 3 exons. NCBI's taxonomy places the organism in Eukaryota, Metazoa, Arthropoda, Malacostraca, Decapoda, Portunidae. The record is from RefSeq and is a predicted model, not a curated record.
UUUAACGGGUGCGGGGCGAUACAGGCACCCAUUGUUGUACAGGUAACAGGUGAACCAUGAGAAGCUUGGCGUGGCUGCGGCAGGCGCUACUGGCGGUGGUGAUGCUUGUGUUGGUGGCGGGUCUCGCCACAGCUAUACCAGCGAUGGAACCUGCCGCUCGCGUGGAGCGCAGUGCCUUGCCCGGCACGUGGGGGUGCAGUCCAAGCUCGCAAUGUCAAGAUUCACCAAAGUAUGGAUAGACUAUCCGCUCACUGGCUUCCCUCAUGACUGACCGCUGCCCGACGAAGAACUUUCGAAAACACACACACACACACACAUUAGAUAUAAGCUGUAAUUAUUCCCUUUGUCUUCUUUUUCUAAUCCACUUUCAUUCCUUUGACUUGUUUCCAACAGGAAUUAGUUCUAAAAUCUAUAAUUUCCUUUCUAUGUUCUUUUUUCUCGCAAUAAAAAAUGCAUAUGC